UUCAGUGUCUUCUGAGAAACAACCAGCCUGUAAGGUUACAAGUGACCAGAAAGAUUCUAUUUUGAAUAUCGCCACAGAAAUAAAGGAUGGACAAAAAUCUGGGACAGUGUCUUCUGAGAAACAACC
Long non-coding RNA from Rhinopithecus roxellana (golden snub-nosed monkey), 126 nucleotides. RefSeq lists it as uncharacterized. The transcript is spliced from 3 exons. Lineage: Eukaryota; Metazoa; Chordata; Mammalia; Primates; Cercopithecidae. The record is from RefSeq and is a predicted model, not a curated record.